GAUGAACGCUGGCGGCGUGCCUAAUACAUGCAAGUCGAGCGAACGGACGAGAAGCUUGCUUCUCUGAUGUUAGCGGCGGACGGGUGAGUAACACGUGGAUAACCUACCUAUAAGACUGGGAUAACUUCGGGAAACCGGAGCUAAUACCGGAUAAUAUUUUGAACCGCAUGGUUCAAAAGUGAAAGACGGUCUUGCUGUCACUUAUAGAUGGAUCCGCGCUGCAUUAGCUAGUUGGUAAGGUAACGGCUUACCAAGGCAACGAUGCAUAGCCGACCUGAGAGGGUGAUCGGCCACACUGGAACUGAGACACGGUCCAGACUCCUACGGGAGGCAGCAGUAGGGAAUCUUCCGCAAUGGGCGAAAGCCUGACGGAGCAACGCCGCGUGAGUGAUGAAGGUCUUCGGAUCGUAAAACUCUGUUAUUAGGGAAGAACAUAUGUGUAAGUAACUGUGCACAUCUUGACGGUACCUAAUCAGAAAGCCACGGCUAACUACGUGCCAGCAGCCGCGGUAAUACGUANGUGGCAAGCGUUAUCCGGAAUUAUUGGGCCGUAAAGCGCGCGUAGGCGGUUUUUUAAGUCUGAUGUGAAAGCCCACGGCUUCANCCGUGGAGGGUCAUUGGAAACUGGAAAACUUGAGUGCAGAAGAGAAAAGUGGAAUUCCAUGUGUAGCGGUGAAAUGCGCAGAGAUAUGGAGGACACCAGUGGCGAAGGCGACUUUCUGGUCUGUAACUGACGCUGAUGUGCGAAAGCGUGGGGAUCAAACAGGAUUAGAUACCCUGGUAGUCCACGCCGUAAACGUUGAGUGCUAAGUGUUAGGGGGUUUCCGCCCCUUAGUGCUGCAGCUAACGCAUUAAGCACUCCGCCUGGGGAGUACGACCGCAAGGUUGAAACUCAAAGGAAUUGACGGGGACCCGCACAAGCGGUGGAGCAUGUGGUUUAAUUCGAAGCAACGCGAAGAACCUUACCAAAUCUUGACAUCCUUUGACAACUCUAGAGAUAGAGCCUUCCCCUUCGGGGGACAAAGUGACAGGUGGUGCAUGGUUGUCGUCAGCUCGUGUCGUGAGAUGUUGUGUUAAGUCCCGCAACGAGCGCAACCCUUAAGCUUAGUUGCCAUCAUUAAGCUGGGCACUCUAAGUUGACUGCCGGUGACAAACCGGAGGAAGGUGGGGAUGACGUCAAAUCAUCAUGCCCCUUAUGAUUUGGGCUACACACGUGCUACAAUGGACAAUACAAAGGGCAGCGAAACCGCGAGGUCAAGCAAAUCCCAUAAAGUUGUUCUCAGUUCGGAUUGUAGUCUGCAACUCGACUACAUGAAGCUGGAAUCGCUAGUAAUCGUAGAUCAGCAUGCUACGGUGAAUACGUUCCCGGGUCU
Molecule: ribosomal RNA, 1373 nt
Filed under: uncultured bacterium
Lineage: Bacteria
Description: bacterial SSU rRNA
Rfam family: Bacterial small subunit ribosomal RNA
Source: RNAcentral